AGCAGCAGCAACAACACGGUUCUUGCCUCUCGCCCUCCAAACUCGAAUUUAGGGUUACACCACAAGGUUGGAGCUUCUGUAACUUGUAGGCUGCAGGGCAGUGAGGGAGAAACAAAGAAAAGGAAGAUAGAAAAAAAAUGGCUAGUAGCUGUGCUAGACGAACUCUUCUAAGCUCCUCUGCAUCUGCAGCUACCAUUCUAAAUGGUUGCAGGUCAUCGUCAUCUUCACAUAUCGCUUCAGGGGCGACUAAGCUUGGGGGAUUCGCUUCAACAAGGCCCACUUCUGCUCGUCUUUCUCGACAUAAGCUUCCCUUAUUCUCCAGAAUUGAAAAGAAGGAAAAGACUUUAGUUUGAUUGGAUUUUGGAAGGACUUUUAGAGAAGUACCGAUCAGUGGACUCAGAGUUUACUAGCUACGAAGUACAGAGGAAAUGCAUCCUGACCGUGAAUUGAUACUAAAUUCACGAGCAGUAUGUCGUUUAUAGGGGAAAGAGGGUUAAUUGUAGGGGGUGGCUGGAAUUCAAAAUUCUGCAUCGUGUGUAUUCGUACUUUUCCCUUCAGUAGAGCCUUCUGGAUGACCAAACAUCCUGAGCGUCAACACGUGAUUAUGUUUCUUUCUUUAAUAGAAAAUGAAAACUAUUGAAUUAUUAAUUAUAUAAUUACACUGA
Molecule: non-coding RNA, 665 nt
Organism: Nelumbo nucifera (sacred lotus)
Lineage: Eukaryota; Viridiplantae; Streptophyta; Magnoliopsida; Proteales; Nelumbonaceae
Source: RefSeq, a predicted model, not a curated record